Molecule: ribosomal RNA, 340 nt
Filed under: Discostella sp.
Lineage: Eukaryota; Bacillariophyta; Thalassiosirophyceae; Thalassiosirales; Thalassiosiraceae
Description: SSU rRNA
Rfam family: Eukaryotic small subunit ribosomal RNA
Source: RNAcentral
AGUUAAAAAGCUCGUAGUUGGAUUUCUGGCAGGAGCGGCGGGUCGCGCACUCUGUGCGUGAACUUGGUUGUCUCUGGCCAUCCUUGGGGAGAUCCUGUUUGGCAUUAAGUUGUCGGGCAGGGGAUACCCAUCGUUUACUGUGAAAAAAUUAGAGUGUUUAAAGCAGGCUUAUGCCGUUGAAUAUAUUAGCAUGGAAUAAUAAGAUAGGACUUUGGAACUAUUUUGUUGGUUUGCGUUACAAAGUAAUGAUUAAUAGGGACAGUUGGGGGUAUUCGUAUUUCGUUGUCAGAGGUGAAAUUCUUGGAUUUCCGAAAGACGAACUACUGCGAAAGCAUUUACC